CCGAGUUUACAACUCCCAAACCCCUGUGAACAUACCUAUACGUUGCCUCGGCGGAUCAGCCCGCGCCCCGUAAAAAGGGACGGCCCGCCCGAGGACCCCUAAACUCUGUUUUUAGUGGAACUUCUGAGUAAAACAAACAAUAAAUCA
Molecule: unclassified non-coding RNA, 147 nt
Filed under: soil metagenome
Description: partial internal transcribed spacer 1
Source: RNAcentral